AUGGAUGUGUUUGCGUUAUGUGGAGGAGGAUGGCGCAGCGGUUCCAUUGUGCAGAUCAGAUGGAAGGGGCGCGGAUGGCGGUGGCGGUCUGAAUCAUGGUGUGUGUUGGAGGAACGUUGUCGGAGCUUGAGUAAUUCGCGGAGGGGAAGCAACUUUGAUCUCACUUCUUCUUUAUAUAUGGGUUAA
Molecule: non-coding RNA, 186 nt
Organism: Vicia faba (fava bean)
Lineage: Eukaryota; Viridiplantae; Streptophyta; Magnoliopsida; Fabales; Fabaceae
Source: the annotation of a GenBank genome assembly